AAAGUAAUAAUAAUAAUAAAUAAAAUAUAUUUCACAGGUAUUAAAAACUGUCUUCUAAACAGGAGUGGAAACAGAUGAGAAUAAACACUUAGAUCUACAUUUAUCACAGUCUAACUGGAAGCAGAAACACCAGCAUUGAUCUCAGACAAGCCAAUUCUUUCAGCACACCCCAAAGAAAAAUGCAGACCAUGCUUUCAGAACAGCAGGCGACACUAACAAACACUGAUGCCAGUUCUCACAAGAGACAAAGAAGAUGACAAUCAUGAGGUAAUGGCAUCAUGAGGAUUCCUAGACCAGCUUCUUGUUCUUGGCCACUUUCCAGGAAUUCUGAACUCUGUGACAGACAAGUAGCUAUAAAGGUAAUGUAUGAUCCUUACAGUCCUUGAAUCAUGAUAUUAAUGCCAUUUGAAUAUUUGGCAUCCCUACUGAAGAAAAUAGGAUCAGUCUGGUAAUCUGUUGGCUGCUGUAGGAUCUAAGAAGUUGUAAUCCUUAGCUUUCCUGCCAACGAAUUCCUCAUUAAGCACAAGAUAUCCUGAAACAAAUCACUAGUAAAACCUCUCCAGGUGUUAAUAUAUGUAGAGUUCUUCUAAGCAGAUAAUUCUAGCCAAAAAUUAUAUUUUUUUUCUACUCUCUUUCUGUCAUUGCGCCAAGCUGAAAUAGUCUAAAGGUUUCCAUAUAUUGCAAUGUGUGAUUUGGGUUAAAUGCUCAUAGUGAAGCACAGGGAA
RNAcentral lists this long non-coding RNA (725 nucleotides) under Anas zonorhyncha (Eastern spot-billed duck). RNAcentral's name for it is "lncRNA (ENSAZOG00000000862.1)". The record is from RNAcentral. Lineage: Eukaryota; Metazoa; Chordata; Aves; Anseriformes; Anatidae.